Molecule: long non-coding RNA, 1906 nt
Organism: Gallus gallus (chicken)
Lineage: Eukaryota; Metazoa; Chordata; Aves; Galliformes; Phasianidae
Source: Ensembl
ACCUCCCCGUAAGCGGGGCUCGGGUCUUUGCUGUAGUUGGCCUUUUGCCUUGCUGCUCCUAGGGCUGCCUGGGGAGCGUGGCCCCCUGUAACGGAGGGCGAGAGCCACCUCUCCGCACCUGAGUGGGAAAUGGAGCUCGCCGGACCCCAAGGCCACCCUGUAAGCAGGGUAGUGCCGUUUCCCUGCCCCUCUUCCUCCCCCGGCCCCUCGGCAUCGUUGCCUGAUGGUGGCUUGUCAACGCGACGGCCCCGUACUCGGGGUGUGCGUCACGGCAUUUGGCCGCUGGCUUUACCUGAGAAGCCCCUUGGCACGUUGAGGUCUGUGGCCUCCGUGCAGCCUAGGGACAGGUCACAGGCUCUUGUCUGUUGCCCGUGGUUGUGGGUUUAUUCCCAGGUGUUGGCUGUGCUGCGUUGUCCUUCCCUUCUGGAAAGUCGUGCCUGUGUGUGCGUGUUCCCCUUCCUUUCCUUGUUUGUGUUUGUGGAGUGGUUGAGCGGCUGUGCUUUCCCUUUAGGCCUCCACAAAGAUGGCUGCAGCUUAGCUUUGACUUCCCGGGGGGGAAUGGAGGACUUUGGUGCAUGCCGCAAAAGGGGUGUUCCCUCUUAGUCCUGCGAGCGCAGCGAGUGUCCUGUCUUCCUACUAUUUUCCUUAGUGCAGAUCAGAGCCACACGGUAGUUCUGUGGCCAAGGCCUCCCUGUAGCCAGGGCUUGGGCCUGUCCUUGCGUGGCCGCCUGUCCUGCUGGCGGCGGUGACAGCCCCGUACUCGGGGUGUGUGUCCCAAGCUUCGGAGCCCUCUGUCCCUGAGCAGCCCGCCCGCCCUGUAAUCAGGUGUGGGGAGGCUGCAGCGUUGCAGCCGGCUGCUUUAGCCAUCCAGCUGGUGGGAGUGACCCCUCCCUGUCCCGUCAGAGGGUGCAGGUUGAGGUGCUGUUUGUGUGUGGGGUGACCUCCCCGCUCGGUGGGUCGAGGUAGCUCCCUGGGCUUCCAAAGACGAGACGUUGGUGAUGUUCUGCUGCUGCCGGGCGGGCCAGCCUGUAGCUCAGGCGUUGGCGGGAGCCUCGUGCUCCGCAGGGCUUCUUGAAGAGGGUGAGGUGUGGGGGUACCGUCCUGUAGGCAGGGCUGUGUGUGCUCCCCGUUUGUGCUUGGUGAGCUGCGUUCUGAGAGACCCCCUGUACUCAGGUGGGAAUGUGGCCCCGGCCUUUCAGAGGCGCGGGGCCGUGAGACGCGGGGUGGGGCUUGCGCCCUCCCUGGAAUCGGGGCUGGGAUCCCGACUGCGGCCUUUGGCCGUGCCGCCCCGCUGCCUGGCUGCUGAGAGUUGCUCCUGCCGCUGGGGGGGAAACCGAGCUCUGUGGCUCCAGGGGUGUUGUCCACCCGCCUGUAAUCAGGGUCUGGGUGCGUGAGCGUUUGUGCUCUGCUGGCAGCCUGUGUGGGGUGACCACCCCGCUAGCGGGGUGUGGGUCGAGGUGCCCCGGACUGGGAGAGAAGGAGCCUCCCUCGGCCGUAGGGAUGGGGGCUGCCCUGUAAGUCAGGGAGCAUCUGUGUCCCGGAGUCCCAGGCCCUUUUCAAUGGCGGCAGUGGCCGGGGGUCCCCUGUAAGCAGGGAAGCUGACUCUUUGGCUGCUGCUUUUUGUGUGCCCAGCCCCAUUUGCCCGGUCUGCCUGCCUCUGUGAUCCCCCGCAGCACUGGCUGGAAGUCCGCCGCGUGUCAGUGAGGAGCUGCUUCAGAAGAAAGAAGAAGCGGCGUGGGGACCUGGGCUGCAAAAUCAAGAUUGGGUAUCUGUUGACUGUUUUUCUUGUAUUUCUUUGCCUUUUGGAGCCACAGUUUUGAACAGUUGUGUAAGACUUUAUCACUCUUUUUGUCAGCGUCGUCAGCUGUGAAUAAAGUUUUUUUUCCAUGUUGUUUUUCCUGUUAUA